This 790-nucleotide ribosomal RNA is filed under the name uncultured Bacillota bacterium. Its description in RNAcentral is "bacterial SSU rRNA". It matches the Rfam family "Bacterial small subunit ribosomal RNA", at positions 558 to 1351 of the family's 1533-position model. The record is from RNAcentral. Lineage: Bacteria; Bacillati; Bacillota.
GUGUAAAGGGCGUGUAGGCGGAGAUGCAAGUUGGGAGUGAAAUCCCGGGGCUCAACCCCGGAACUGCUUUCAAAACUGUAUCCCUUGAGUGUCGGAGAGGCAAGCGGAAUUCCUAGUGUAGCGGUGAAAUGCGUAGAUAUUAGGAGGAACACCAGUGGCGAAGGCGGCUUGCUGGACGAUAACUGACGCUGAGGCGCGAAAGCGUGGGGAGCAAACAGGAUUAGAUACCCUGGUAGUCCACGCUGUAAACGAUGAAUACUAGGUGUGGGAGGACUGACCCCUUCCGUGCCGCAGUUAACACAAUAAGUAUUCCACCUGGGGAGUACGACCGCAAGGUUGAAACUCAAAGGAAUUGACGGGGGCCCGCACAAGCAGUGGAUUAUGUGGUUUAAUUCGACGCAACCCGAAGAACCUUACCAGGGUUUGACAUCCAACUAACGAAGUAGAGAUACAUUAGGUGCCCUUCGGGGAAAGUUGAGACAGGUGGUGCAUGGUUGUCGUCAGCUCGUGUCGUGAGAUGUUGGGUUAAGUCCCGCAACGAGCGCAACCCCUAUUGUUAGUUGCUACGCAAGAGCACUCUAGCGAGACUGCCGUUGACAAAACGGAGGAAGGCGGGGACGACGUCAAAUCAUCAUGCCCCUUAUAUCCUGGGCUACACACGUAAUACAAUGGUGGUAAACAGAGGGAAGCAAUGCAGCGAUGCGGAGCAAAUCCCUAAAAGCCAUCUCAGUUCGGAUUGCAGGCUGCAACUCGCCUGCAUGAAGCUGGAAUUGCUAGUAAUCGCGGAUCA